AGUCGAACGUUAGCACAGGGGAGCUUGCUCCCCGGGUGACGAGUGGCGGACGGGUGAGUAAUGUCUGGGGAUCUGCCCGAUGGAGGGGGAUAACUACUGGAAACGGUAGCUAAUACCGCAUAACCUCGAAAGAGCAAAGUGGGGGACCUUCGGGCCUCACACCAUCGGAUGAACCCAGAUGGGAUUAGCUAGUAGGUGGGGUAACGGCUCACCUAGGCGACGAUCCCUAGCUGGUCUGAGAGGAUGACCAGCCACACUGGAACUGAGACACGGUCCAGACUCCUACGGGAGGCAGCAGUGGGGAAUAUUGCACAAUGGGCGCAAGCCUGAUGCAGCCAUGCCGCGUGUAUGAAGAAGGCCUUCGGGUUGUAAAGUACUUUCAGCGGGGAGGAAGGGAUGAAGGUUAAUAACCUUCGUCAUUGACGUUACCCGCAGAAGAAGCACCGGCUAACUCCGUGCCAGCAGCCGCGGUAAUACGGAGGGUGCAAGCGUUAAUCGGAAUUACUGGGCGUAAAGCGCACGCAGGCGGUUUGUUAAGUCAGAUGUGAAAUCCCCGGGCUCAACCUGGGAACUGCAUUUGAAACUGGCAAGCUUGAGUCUCGUAGAGGGGGGUAGAAUUCCAGGUGUAGCGGUGAAAUGCGUAAGAUCUGGAGGAAUACCGGUGGCGAAGCGGCCCCCUGGACGAAACUGACGCUCAGGUGCGAAAGCGUGUGAAGCAAACAGGAUUAUACCCCUGGUAGUCCACGCCCUAAACGAUGUCGACUUGGCAGGUUGUGCCCUU
Molecule: ribosomal RNA, 781 nt
Filed under: uncultured bacterium
Lineage: Bacteria
Description: bacterial SSU rRNA
Rfam family: Bacterial small subunit ribosomal RNA
Source: RNAcentral